Long non-coding RNA from Oncorhynchus tshawytscha (Chinook salmon), 314 nucleotides. The record is from Ensembl. NCBI's taxonomy places the organism in Eukaryota, Metazoa, Chordata, Actinopteri, Salmoniformes, Salmonidae.
AGAGAGAGAGAGAGGGGGCAGCAGAGAGAGGGAGAGGGGGCAGCAGAGAGAGAGAGAGAGAGGGCAGCAUAAAGAGAGAGGGGGCAGCAGAGACAGAGAGAGGGCAGCAGAGAGAGAGAGAGAGGGCAGCAGAGAGAGAGAGGGGGGCAGCAGAGAGAGAGAGAGAGGUCAGCAGAGAGAGAGAGAGAGGGAGGGCAGCAGAGAGUGAGAGAGGGAGGGCAGCAGAGAGACAGAGAGGGAGGGCAGCAGAGAGAGAGAGGAGGGCAGCAGAGAGAGAAUGGGGCAGCAGAGAGAGAGGGGGCAGUAGAGGGAGA